Molecule: ribosomal RNA, 556 nt
Filed under: Fusarium equiseti
Lineage: Eukaryota; Fungi; Ascomycota; Sordariomycetes; Hypocreales; Nectriaceae
Description: eukaryotic LSU rRNA
Rfam family: 5.8S ribosomal RNA (bases 198-351)
Source: RNAcentral
AAAGUCCGUAACAAGGUCUCCGUUGGUGAACCAGCGGAGGGAUCAUUACCGAGUUUACAACUCCCAAACCCCUGUGAACAUACCUAUACGUUGCCUCGGCGGAUCAGCCCGCGCCCCGUAAAAAGGGACGGCCCGCCCGAGGACCCCUAAACUCUGUUUUUAGUGGAACUUCUGAGUAAAACAAACAAAUAAAUCAAAACUUUCAACAACGGAUCUCUUGGUUCUGGCAUCGAUGAAGAACGCAGCAAAAUGCGAUAAGUAAUGUGAAUUGCAGAAUUCAGUGAAUCAUCGAAUCUUUGAACGCACAUUGCGCCCGCCAGUAUUCUGGCGGGCAUGCCUGUUCGAGCGUCAUUUCAACCCUCAAGCUCAGCUUGGUGUUGGGACUCGCGGUAACCCGCGUUCCCCAAAUCGAUUGGCGGUCACGUCGAGCUUCCAUAGCGUAGUAAUCAUACACCUCGUUACUGGUAAUCGUCGCGGCCACGCCGUAAAACCCCAACUUCUGAAUGUUGACCUCGGAUCAGGUAGGAAUACCCGCUGAACUUAAGCAUAUCAAUAA